AGWGACCUGCGGAGGAUCAUUACAUAUGUCCGGGAUGUCCAAUGGGGCUCCCAAGCAAAACACAUCCAUGUGUACACUCCCAUGUUGCUUCCCCAGAUCAGUGGCCACUGCUGCCAGCCCUGCCCUUCAUGGCAUUUCGGGUUGAGGUGUCUGGGGAAGGGUCCAAUAUCAAACUUUUGAACAAAUCAGUUGUCUGAGAAGGCCAUCCGCCGCAAAUUUUAAAAAUAUAUUAAAAACUUUCAACAACGGAUCUCUUGGCUCUCGCAUCGAUGAARAACGCAGCGAAAUGCGAUAAGUAAUGUGAAUUGCARAAUUCAGUGAAUCAUCGAAUCUUUGAACGCACAUUGCGCCCUUUGGUAUUCCUUAGGGCAUGCCUGUUCRAGCGUCACUAAAACCACCUCACAUAUAAUGUGGUAUUGGUAGAAGUGGGUAGUGCUAAAAGCACCUUGUCCUACUCUACUGAAAUGAAUAGGCCARAAAAGUGAACCAUGGUAGUAGACUCUCARAGUGUUUUAAUAUACUAAACUAGUCUUAGCCAGGUUGGAAUCUGAGUUCCCGGACCCCCAUUUAGUCUAAAUAAGAGAGGUUGACCUCGGAUCAGGUAGGGAUACCCGCUGAACUUAAGCAUAUCAAUAAGGCGGAGGAA
Molecule: ribosomal RNA, 646 nt
Filed under: uncultured Tuber
Lineage: Eukaryota; Fungi; Ascomycota; Pezizomycetes; Pezizales; Tuberaceae
Description: eukaryotic LSU rRNA
Rfam family: 5.8S ribosomal RNA (bases 235-388)
Source: RNAcentral